This 768-nucleotide long non-coding RNA is filed under the name Salmo trutta (river trout). RNAcentral's name for it is "lncRNA (ENSSTUG00000049160.1)". Lineage: Eukaryota; Metazoa; Chordata; Actinopteri; Salmoniformes; Salmonidae. The record is from RNAcentral.
GUAAUAAUACUGUAAUCCUACAGUAAUACUACUGUAAUCCUACUGUAUUACUACAGUAAUACUACUGUAAUCCUACUGUAAUCCAGGCCCAGCAGAUGACCAUGCAGGCCAUGGCCUUCCAGCAGCAGAUGCUGUCUUCCUUCCCCACCCAGGCCCCUCCCACACAACCUCCCCUCCGCACCUCCAGCCAUACUGAAGACGCUCCAGAGAGCCCAUACCAGCACCACCCCUCCUCCAGGAAACACAGUCCGACACGGGCCCCCCCUCCUGAUGACUUGGUGCGGUCCAGGGCCCCCCCUCCCAGGGCCCCCCCUCCUGAUGACAUGGUGCGGUCCAGGGCCCCCCCUCCAGAAGGAGUGGUCCAGUCCAGCGUGUCUGACUCAGAAAGCCCCUCCCACAACAUCAAGGAUAUGAUCAAACAGUACCAACACCCACCUAACCCUGCACCCAGCCAGCCUGCACACACACACAGGAAGGGGGAGGGGAAGAUGUUUGUGAAGAAGCCGGACCCUCAUGAUGAAGCCAUGUAUAUCCUGAAAGACCAGAUGGCCAACCCACCACCACAGAAGUCUUUCUCUCCGGCGGCGCCUCGGGAACCAAGGGAGGAGGGUGGAUCCAAAGUCACCAAGGCAACCAAACCCCGCCCACCUGCCCUAGCCGACUCCCACAGCAGCCCCCUCCCCCCACCAGGUCAGAACCAGACCUGAACUAGAACAAGACGUGAACUAGAACCAGACCUGAACUAGAACCAGACCUGAACUAGAACAA